CUGCACUUGAUACUAACCAAGCUGUCUAUAUCCUAGCCUUGUGUCAAAGGUUUGUGAUAUGCUGUGAUAGCUGGGUUUAAAAAGUGCAAUAUUAAAACAAAAGCCAUGAGCCUUUAAGCCCAGUGUGUAAAGGCACACUCUGAGUUAUAACUCAAAGGCACAACU
This 165-nucleotide small nucleolar RNA is filed under the name Procavia capensis (Cape rock hyrax). RNAcentral describes it as "Small Cajal body specific RNA 1 (ENSPCAG00000020568.1)". It matches the Rfam family "Small Cajal body specific RNA 1". Rfam says of the family: scaRNAs are a specific class of small nuclear RNAs which localise to the Cajal bodies and guide the modification of RNA polymerase II transcribed spliceosomal RNAs U1, U2, U4, U5 and U12. The record is from RNAcentral. Lineage: Eukaryota; Metazoa; Chordata; Mammalia; Hyracoidea; Procaviidae.